RNAcentral lists this ribosomal RNA (397 nucleotides) under uncultured bacterium. RNAcentral's name for it is "partial 16S ribosomal RNA". It matches the Rfam family "Bacterial small subunit ribosomal RNA", at positions 523 to 918 of the family's 1533-position model. The record is from RNAcentral.
AUACGUAGGGGGCGAGCGUUGUCCGGAAUUACUGGGCGUAAAGGGCGUGUAGGCGGGGGUGCAAGUUACCGGUAAAAACCCGAGGCUUAACUUCGGGCUUGCCGAUAAAACUGUAUCUCUUGAGGGUAGGAGAGGGAAUCGGAAUUCCCGGAGUAGCGGUGAAAUGCGUAGAUACCGGGAGGAACACCAGUGGCGAAGGCGGAUUCCUGGCCUACAACUGACGCUGAGGCGCGAAAGCUGGGGUAGCAAACGGGAUUAGAUACCCCGGUAGUCCCAGCUGUAAACGAUGGUCACUAGGUGUGGGUGGUGGUCAAGCCAUCCGUGCCGGAGUUAACGCAAUAAGUGACCCGCCUGGGGAGUACGGCCGCAAGGUUGAAACUUAAAUGAAUUGGCGGGG